Molecule: long non-coding RNA, 1155 nt
Filed under: Equus caballus (horse)
Lineage: Eukaryota; Metazoa; Chordata; Mammalia; Perissodactyla; Equidae
Description: lncRNA (ENSECAG00000051523.1)
Source: RNAcentral
UUAUUAACAGAUUUAUUGACCCUCUAUGUGCUAGGUACUGUGCUAUGUACUGAGUAUACAAAGGGAAUUGUUUGGGCCUCCUAUGUCCCAGAAUGUCAUGAGAUACUUUUCCAUGUUGUUCAGUCCAUAUGGAAUGUUUUUCUUUCCUUCACCUGGUAAAUCUUCUAUCUUCCAGAUUCAACUUGAUGAUCCUCAACAGUCUUCCGUACCCUCAAAUGGCCCCCACGAAUUUCUGCUUUGUGAACUUUAUUUUCUAUUUUGGCUGAAAAAGGCUACUGUUUGCAUGGUUACUUGCUUAAUAUUAGAAAUCAAGUAGAAACAGUGCUGGUGACCGAGAAGUGAAUGGGCAUGCUCAAAAAUGACUGGUGGCGCAACCAUUGACAUAAACCUUUAAAAAAGCAAAUCCGGCCAGCCAAAGAACCUAGAAGGAAAGGAGGAGAAAGUCUUCUACUCCUGCAGCAGCUUUCCAAGAUCCCACAGAUGGAAGAUAGUAGAGUCAGGUCUUCAACCCAGGGAAUCUAACAUCAGUGUUUGAACACAAAAUCACUAAAUCUCAAUGAUGUGGAUCAAGGCUGCCCCAGGGAGGGAAGCCCAGGGCAUCCUCGGCUACGUGCAGAUCUAUGUGACCCGAUUCAUAUCUAAAGUUAUACGACCACACAAUAACCAGACCCUCACCUGCACUGAUACCAUUUUAAUGACUUUUCACAUCAUCUUUCCUUUAUCUAUUAAAAGUCACUCUUUAGUCGCAAAAAAAGAGAAAAUAUUGACUUUCAUCCUCAUAUUUAGUUGGUGUAUCAAGAAUCACAGGACUUUCUGAUACCAGCGUCAAUGUGGUCAUCUAUCUGGAAGUGUUCCUCCCUCAUUCUCUUUCAACAAGGAUCUUUGGUAUUUGUUUAGCAGUGUGGCGAUAGAAAUCUUCAGGACAUACGGAAGAAAUGGUGAUAGUUUGCUUACAAAAACCAAAUGGAGAGAAUUAACUAUGGAGAAAGCUCAAGACUCUCCUCUUUUAAUUGACUCUCCCUUCUACAAGGAGGAAUUCUAUCCAAGGACAAAAUAAUGUAAGUUUGACAGGAGUGUCCUCUAAGGUAUCUAAUAUUCAUGAAUCUAGACCAGCUAAUAAAUUCUCUUUAUUGUGUAAGCUAGUUUGAAAUUGAU